AUGGCCUGGUGGAAAUUGUGUGUGCCAAAAAGUAAGGGAGGAAUGAGUUUUAGAGAAAUCCACUGAUUUAAUUUAGCCCUCCUAGCUAAGCAUGUGUGGAGGCUAAUAGACAAUCCAGAUUCCUUGUUUUCUACUAUUCUUAAAGCAAAAUACUUCCCUGAUGGAGAUUUUCUUAAUGCCAAGUUAAAGAAAGGUUCUUGA
Molecule: ribosomal RNA, 201 nt
Filed under: Triticum aestivum (bread wheat)
Lineage: Eukaryota; Viridiplantae; Streptophyta; Magnoliopsida; Poales; Poaceae
Description: partial small subunit ribosomal RNA
Source: RNAcentral